GCCGGGCACAGUGGUGCAUGCCUGUAAUCCCAGCAACUUGGGAGGCUGAGGGAGGAGGAUCGUGAGUUCAAAGCCAGCCCCAGCAAUUUAGCAAGGCCCUAAGCAACUCAGUGAGACCCUGUCUCUA
This 127-nucleotide small RNA is filed under the name Marmota monax (woodchuck). Lineage: Eukaryota; Metazoa; Chordata; Mammalia; Rodentia; Sciuridae. The record is from RNAcentral.